This 1638-nucleotide unclassified non-coding RNA is filed under the name Nilaparvata lugens (brown planthopper). Its description in RNAcentral is "pickpocket protein 28-like, transcript variant X3". Lineage: Eukaryota; Metazoa; Arthropoda; Insecta; Hemiptera; Delphacidae. The record is from RNAcentral.
UAUCACUCCAAUUUAGAAGAUGUUCUAAACAUUGAUAUUGUCAUCACUGGCAUUGGUGAUCUGGUGAUCGGGUAGUGCGUUGGACAAGAUGCCGAGAAAUAGGAGAACGUUCAUUAAACGACAUAUUGACGAAUAUUGUGAAAAUUCAUCUUUGGCUGGAGUUAAAUAUGUUGUCGCUAAAGACAGAUCAGUAUUUGAAAGAGCUUGGUGGAUGAUCGCAAUCACAUGCAGUUUCCUGCUGAGUUUGUACCUGAUUAGAGGAUUGUGGGUCAAGUGGAAUGAUUCGCCUGUUAUAGUAUCCUUUGCAGAAAAGUCGACCUCUGUAUGGGAAAUUCCUUUCCCUGCUGUUACCAUAUGCAGCAGCAGCAGAGUGAGACGAUCGGUCUUCAAUUACACAAAGUAUUAUGAAAUGGAUGAUUAUGAACUCACUGAGGACGAAAGAAGAAAACUUUCUAGCGUUGAUUUGCUGUGUUUGAAACCUGAUGAGAAUGGAGAAGAACUGAUCAAUGAAUCAAGGAUUGACUCUCUAGAAGAGGUUGUUACAGAAGAAUUCAUAAAAAUAUGCGCUUGGGGAAACGGUUUAAACAUCAAUUGUAGUAAUCGUUUCACUCCAAUAAUGACUGAUCGAGGAUACUGCUUCACUUCAAACUCACUUAGUCAUUCCGACAUUUAUCAUGAAGAUGGAUUGAAUUCCAAGUAUCUGAAAUCACUUCCAAAUGCUAUCCAUUGGGACUUGGAGAAAGGCUACGAUAAUAAAGCUCCUUUGAACAUGUCUUAUCCACUCAGGGUCAACAACUCUGGCAAGAAGUUAGGCCUAUCGAUUCUGAUGAUGAUGAAUACCAGUGAAUAUGACAUGCUAUGCUCGGGCUUUCUAAAAGGAUUCACGGUAACAUUGCACAAUCCAGCUGAGAUUGCUCCUGUUUCUGAUCGGUAUUUUGAUGUGCCUCUCAACCAAAAAGUAUCUCUGGCUGUAAAGCCCAAUAUGAUGACAACUAGCAGCAAUCUCAGGAACUACAGUCCUGAACGCAGGCAAUGCUAUUUUGCACAUGAAAGGAAGCUUGCAUUCUUCAAAGUGUACACUCAAAAUAACUGUGAAAUGGAAUGCCAAACUAAUUACUCCUUGAAGGAAUGCGGCUGUGUUUGGUUCCACAUGCCAAGAGCAAAGGAUACUCCAAUCUGUGGUGGAAAGCGUCAUGACUGUGUAUUAUUCAAGGCUUUUGUUUAUCAUAUUCAUUAUUAGAAAUUCAUUUCAAGUAUCCUCAGUUCAUUGCAAGUCAACGUAGUGCUUUAUACGGACUAUCCAAUUUUCUUGGUAUUUGUGGUGGACUACUUGGAUUGACUAACGGUUUUUGCCUUCUGAGUCUGGUUGAAAUAAUUUAUUACUUGACAUUGAGACUUUACAACAAUUAUUAUUCCCAGGAGGAAGAAGAACGAAAUGACACUGAGAUGGAUGAUUUAGGAGAAUUAAAUGUGUGAGACUAUUGCUUGCUGCUUUUAAAAUCACAGUCAUAUAUAUAGCCAAUUGAAAGAAUUUUUCACGCAAAUGUGAAACAUGACUGAUUAAUUGUUUUUCACUCUAAACUUAUUGACACAGAGAUGUUGUGUUCCCAUAAAUGAGAGUGAAAUAAAUAAUAUUUU